CCCUUAGAUGUCCUGGGCUGCACGCGCGCUACACUGAUGCGUCCAAUAAGCACCUAACCUAAUCCGAAGGGACCGGGUAACCUUAGCAAAGCGCAUCGUGAUGGGGAUAGAUUAUUGCAAUUAUUAGUCUUGAACGAGGAAUUCCUAGUAAGCGCAAGUCAUCAGCUUGUGUUGAUUACGUCCCUGCCCUUUGUACACACCGCCCGUCGCUCCUACCGAUUGAGUGUUCCGGUGAAUAAUUCGGACUGCAGCAGCGUGGGGACUCCUCAUGCUGCAGCGGAAAGUUUGGUGAACCUUAACACUUAGAGGAAGGAGAAGUCGUAACA
Molecule: ribosomal RNA, 326 nt
Filed under: uncultured eukaryote
Lineage: Eukaryota
Description: partial 18S ribosomal RNA
Rfam family: Eukaryotic small subunit ribosomal RNA
Source: RNAcentral